Suricata suricatta (meerkat) is the source of this 1608-nucleotide long non-coding RNA. RefSeq lists it as uncharacterized. Lineage: Eukaryota; Metazoa; Chordata; Mammalia; Carnivora; Herpestidae. The transcript is spliced from 4 exons. The record is from RefSeq and is a predicted model, not a curated record.
CCCCUUCCGGCCACGGCGGCAGCGCCCUGCGGGUGGGUGGGCCGGCGGGCUAGCGGACGCCGCGGCCCCCGAGCCUAGCGGAGCCCCCCGGUGGAUCCGCGCGCUUCUCUCCUCCCGCAGGAGGGGCCCCGGCGUUCUACCUGGCCCGGUGCGGCGGAAGGCCCCUACCCGCCCGUGCCCCCUGCAGCAGCGCGGCGUCGGGUUCCCAGGGAGAGGCCUCUGCCUCUUUGUGUAGAUUCUUUGUGGGAACCCCGGCGGGUGGGGACAGAAGCCUCCGCUGCCCCUGCCUCUCGCCCCCGCCGCACCCCGCCGUCGCCUGGGACCCGUCCCGGAGAGGCCCAGAGGGGAUCGGAAAGAACCAGAUGCUCAGGGGCCCUUGGAAUCCCGUCCAGUUCUCAGAGCCCCAGGGUUUCCUUGGGCACAGGUGGGGGAGUGAUGGGCUCCCAGGCAAGCGUGUUCCGGCCCUCAGGGUCCCGCCCAGAGUGUCAGGGCCCCUGCUUUACUCAGUUCACCCUUCAUCAUCUGAGCGGGAAGGGGAGCUGGCACACCUUGUCUUGCUCAGGCUCACUCUGGUCUGGCCCAGUGACGUUACUCUCAUCAGUCACCCCAAAUGAAACAGCGCUGAAGUCCCUAGAUGGAGUUCUACUGGAGGAAGAAUGGAACUCUGACGACCUGGAAACAUUGACUUGGGCCAGACAGUUCGAACCAGUGCUUCUGGAGACGGCAUUCUACUGAGGCCCUGCCAGUGACCUUGGUCAGGGAUCUGCCCCUUCCUGAUUCCAGCCUAUUCAGUGCAGAGUGAAUGGGUUGGACCAGUCAUCUGGAAGGUCCAGGGUGACCUUGGGUGGGAGUUCAAGAGGACCCUGCAGCACCUCCUCCCCUUUGUCUGGGCUGGUGUGUGGUGAGGUGCUGGCUGUCCCUGAGCUCCAGGCUGUGGUGGGGGCUGCCGUGCCCUGGGAUGAAUGGAUUCACGGAUCUCGAGGAAGCUGGUGAGAUUUGCUGGCCCGAGACCGGAUGCCCCUCUUUGGAGGCACAGGAGAGUGAGUGGAGCGAGAUUUAUAGCAAGGUCUUCCUCAGGAGGAAUGAAACACGACCUGGAGAGCCCGCCUGCUGGCAAUAAGGCAGCUGAGGUGCCUGCGUGGUCAAUGUCCGCAAGGUCAUGGUCAUUUGGUGACCUUCGCGGUGCUCAGUCCCUUCCUUCUCCGGAAUCAGCUCUGAGCCUCCUGGACGCACGCCUGUCUUUCUUCCAUCUCAUUCAUCACAGGAACAACCACAGUCGUCACCUGCAAGCACUGAAUGUUGACCACAGACUGCUAAUCCAUCCAAAAUGUUCUCUGUCACCACUAUCCUGCAAGAAUCCCAGGGGAAAUGAAGCCUGGAAGAAUCGUUAACUCCGCAGACCAGAGAAGCCAAGCCAGAACCAGAGUUGGCACGGGCUCCUGCAGCUAGAGGAGGGCUUCCGUGACUGAGAAUGGCCCUGGGGGAGUGGACACGCUGACGGGGGCAAAACCAAGGCUGGUGGCCUUUUGCAACUCAGAGAUGUGCUUCUUUAUGCAAUGUUUACUUAAAACAAAAAAUAACUGCAAACAUUUAAAAAUCAGUGCUUUU